This 423-nucleotide ribosomal RNA is filed under the name uncultured bacterium. RNAcentral describes it as "bacterial SSU rRNA". It matches the Rfam family "Bacterial small subunit ribosomal RNA", at positions 358 to 772 of the family's 1533-position model. The record is from RNAcentral.
GGAAUCUUGCGCAAUGGGCGAAAGCCUGACGCAGCGACGCCGUGUGGGUGAUGAAGGCCUUCGGGUCGUAAAGCCCUGUCAGGGGGGACGAAAUCUUGGCUGCCUACUAUGCCGUCGACUUGACGGUACCUCCAAAGGCACCACCGGCUACCUCCGCGCCAGCCGCCGCGGUAAUACGGAGGGUGCAAGCGUUGUUCGGAAUCACUGGGCGUAAAGCGCGUGUAGGCGGCCUUUUAAGUCUGAUGUGAAAGCCCGGGGCUCACCCCCGGAAGUGCAUUGGAUACUGGAAGGCUGGAGUACCGGAGAGGAGGGUGGAAUUCCUGGUGUAGCGGUGAAAUGCGUAGAUAUCAGGAGGAACACCUGUGGCGAAGGCGGCCCUCUGGACGGAUACUGACGCUGAGACGCGAAAGCGUGGGGAGCAAA